RNAcentral lists this ribosomal RNA (470 nucleotides) under uncultured bacterium. RNAcentral's name for it is "partial 16S ribosomal RNA". It matches the Rfam family "Bacterial small subunit ribosomal RNA", at positions 355 to 837 of the family's 1533-position model. The record is from RNAcentral.
UGGGGAAUAUUGCACAAUGGGCGAAAGCCUGAUGCAGCGACGCCGCGUGCGGGAUGAAGGCCUUCGGGUUGUAAACCGCUUUUAAUUGGGAGCAAGCGAGAGUGAGUGUACCUUUUGAAUAAGCACCGGCUAACUACGUGCCAGCAGCCGCGGUAAUACGUAGGGUGCAAGCGUUAUCCGGAAUUAUUGGGCGUAAAGAGCUCGUAGGCGGUUUGUCACGCCUGGUGUGAAAGUCCAUCGCUUAACGGUGGAUCUGCGCCGGGUACGGGCAGGCUAGAGUGCAGUAGGGGAGAUUGGAAUUCCCGGUGUAACGGUGGAAUGUGUAGAUAUCGGGAAGAACACCAAUGGCGAAGGCAGAUCUCUGGGCUGUUACUGACGCUGAGGAGCGAAAGCAUGGGGAGCGAACAGGAUUAGAUACCCUGGUAGUCCAUGCCGUAAACGGUGGAUGCUGGAUGUGGGGCCCUUCCACG